UGAUGAAGCCUUCCGGUGACUUUUACACCACAUGCACCAGUGCUCUCUGCCCAGCUAAGAAGUUUUGGUGGAGUGUACAGAGAUGAGACAAGGCUGGAAAAGGGGAGGACUCGCAGCCUUCCAAUAUACACAAUUGUGCAUAGUGAAAGA
Phyllostomus discolor (pale spear-nosed bat) is the source of this 150-nucleotide long non-coding RNA. RefSeq lists it as uncharacterized. NCBI's taxonomy places the organism in Eukaryota, Metazoa, Chordata, Mammalia, Chiroptera, Phyllostomidae. The transcript has 3 exons. The record is from RefSeq and is a predicted model, not a curated record.